AUUGAACGCUGGCGGCAGGCCUAACACAUGCAAGUCGAGCGGAUGAAGGGAGCUUGCUCCUGGAUUCAGCGGCGGACGGGUGAGUAAUGCCUAGGAAUCUGCCUGGUAGUGGGGGAUAACGUCCGGAAACGGGCGCUAAUACCGCAUACGUCCUGAGGGAGAAAGUGGGGGAUCUUCGGACCUCACGCUAUCAGAUGAGCCUAGGUCGGAUUAGCUAGUUGGUGGGGUAAAGGCCUACCAAGGCGACGAUCCGUAACUGGUCUGAGAGGAUGAUCAGUCACACUGGAACUGAGACACGGUCCAGACUCCUACGGGAGGCAGCAGUGGGGAAUAUUGGACAAUGGGCGAAAGCCUGAUCCAGCCAUACCGCGUGUGUGAAGGAGGUCUUCGGAUUGUAAAGCACUUUAAGUUGGGAGGAAGGGCAGUAAGUUAAUACCUUGCUGUUUUGACGUUACCAACAGAAUAAGCACCGGCUAACUUCGUG
RNAcentral lists this ribosomal RNA (484 nucleotides) under uncultured bacterium. RNAcentral describes it as "partial 16S ribosomal RNA". It matches the Rfam family "Bacterial small subunit ribosomal RNA", at positions 30 to 507 of the family's 1533-position model. The record is from RNAcentral.